RNAcentral lists this ribosomal RNA (506 nucleotides) under Klebsiella pneumoniae. RNAcentral describes it as "partial 23S ribosomal RNA". It matches the Rfam family "Bacterial large subunit ribosomal RNA", at positions 1396 to 1888 of the family's 2925-position model. Lineage: Bacteria; Pseudomonadati; Pseudomonadota; Gammaproteobacteria; Enterobacterales; Enterobacteriaceae. The record is from RNAcentral.
GCGAGGCCGAAAGGCGUAGUCGAUGGGAAACAGGUUAAUAUUCCUGUACUUGGUGUUACUGCGAAGGGGGGACGGAGAAGGCUAUGUUAGCCGGGCGACGGUUGUCCCGGUUUAAGCAUGUAGGCUGAUUGUCCAGGCAAAUCCGGAUAAUCAAGGCUGAGGUGUGAUGACGAGGCACUACGGUGCUGAAGUAACAAAUGCCCUGCUUCCAGGAAAAGCCUCUAAGCAUCAGGUAACAUCAAAUCGUACCCCAAACCGACACAGGUGGUCAGGUAGAGAAUACCAAGGCGCUUGAGAGAACUCGGGUGAAGGAACUAGGCAAAAUGGUGCCGUAACUUCGGGAGAAGGCACGCUGGUGUGUAGGUGAAGUCCCUGCGGAUGGAGCUGAGACCAGUCGAAGAUACCAGCUGGCUGCAACUGUUUAUUAAAAACACAGCACUGUGCAAACACGAAAGUGGACGUAUACGGUGUGACGCCUGCCCGGUGCCGGAAGGUUAAUUGAUGGG